Molecule: small nucleolar RNA, 138 nt
Filed under: Oryza glumipatula
Lineage: Eukaryota; Viridiplantae; Streptophyta; Magnoliopsida; Poales; Poaceae
Description: Small nucleolar RNA Z247
Rfam family: Small nucleolar RNA Z247
About the family: Z247 is a member of the C/D class of snoRNA which contain the C (UGAUGA) and D (CUGA) box motifs. Most of the members of the box C/D family function in directing site-specific 2'-O-methylation of substrate RNAs.
Source: Rfam by way of RNAcentral
CCCCUUGAUGAGGAGGAUCUAGUCUAGUACAUCAUCACCGGAUUAGAUGAAGAUUUCAGUCCAAUCGUCUCCGCUCUGUGCACAAAGACUGAACCUAUGACAGUUGGGAGUUGUACUCUCAACUCCUCAACUAUGAAA